This 1558-nucleotide ribosomal RNA is filed under the name Salmonella enterica subsp. enterica serovar Newport. RNAcentral's name for it is "partial 23S ribosomal RNA". It matches the Rfam family "Bacterial large subunit ribosomal RNA", at positions 1292 to 2829 of the family's 2925-position model. The record is from RNAcentral. Lineage: Bacteria; Pseudomonadati; Pseudomonadota; Gammaproteobacteria; Enterobacterales; Enterobacteriaceae.
GAAUGCUGACAUAAGUAACGAUAAAGCGGGUGAAAAGCCCGCUCGCCGGAAGACCAAGGGUUCCUGUCCAACGUUAAUCGGGGCAGGGUGAGUCGACCCCUAAGGCGAGGCCGAAAGGCGUAGUCGAUGGGAAACGGGUUAAUAUUCCCGUACUUGGUGUUACUGCGAAGGGGGGACGGAGAAGGCUAUGUUGGCCGGGCGACGGUUGUCCCGGUUUAAGCGUGUAGGUGUGUGUUCCAGGUAAAUCCGGUUCACUUUAACACUGAGGCGUGAUGACGAGGCACUACGGUGCUGAAGCAACAAAUGCCCUGCUUCCAGGAAAAGCCUCUAAGCAUCAGGUAACAUCAAAUCGUACCCCAAACCGACACAGGUGGUCAGGUAGAGAAUACCAAGGCGCUUGAGAGAACUCGGGUGAAGGAACUAGGCAAAAUGGUGCCGUAACUUCGGGAGAAGGCACGCUGACACGUAGGUGAAGUGAUUUACUCAUGGAGCUGAAGUCAGUCGAAGAUACCAGCUGGCUGCAACUGUUUAUUAAAAACACAGCACUGUGCAAACACGAAAGUGGACGUAUACGGUGUGACGCCUGCCCGGUGCCGGAAGGUUAAUUGAUGGGGUCAGCGCAAGCGAAGCUCCUGAUCGAAGCCCCGGUAAACGGCGGCCGUAACUAUAACGGUCCUAAGGUAGCGAAAUUCCUUGUCGGGUAAGUUCCGACCUGCACGAAUGGCGUAAUGAUGGCCAGGCUGUCUCCACCCGAGACUCAGUGAAAUUGAACUCGCUGUGAAGAUGCAGUGUACCCGCGGCAAGACGGAAAGACCCCGUGAACCUUUACUAUAGCUUGACACUGAACAUUGAGCCUUGAUGUGUAGGAUAGGUGGGAGGCUUUGAAGCGUGGACGCCAGUCUGCGUGGAGCCGACCUUGAAAUACCACCCUUUAAUGUUUGAUGUUCUAACGUGGACCCGUAAUCCGGGUUGCGGACAGUGUCUGGUGGGUAGUUUGACUGGGGCGGUCUCCUCCUAAAGAGUAACGGAGGAGCACGAAGGUUGGCUAAUCCUGGUCGGACAUCAGGAGGUUAGUGCAAUGGCAUAAGCCAGCUUGACUGCGAGCGUGACGGCGCGAGCAGGUGCGAAAGCAGGUCAUAGUGAUCCGGUGGUUCUGAAUGGAAGGGCCAUCGCUCAACGGAUAAAAGGUACUCCGGGGAUAACAGGCUGAUACCGCCCAAGAGUUCAUAUCGACGGCGGUGUUUGGCACCUCGAUGUCGGCUCAUCACAUCCUGGGGCUGAAGUAGGUCCCAAGGGUAUGGCUGUUCGCCAUUUAAAGUGGUACGCGAGCUGGGUUUAGAACGUCGUGAGACAGUUCGGUCCCUAUCUGCCGUGGGCGCUGGAGAACUGAGGGGGGCUGCUCCUAGUACGAGAGGACCGGAGUGGACGCAUCACUGGUGUUCGGGUUGUCAUGCCAAUGGCACUGCCCGGUAGCUAAAUGCGGAAGAGAUAAGUGCUGAAAGCAUCUAAGCACGAAACUUGCCCCGAGAUGAGUUCUCCCUGAGACUUUAGGUCUCCU